RNA transcript from Capsicum annuum, 1097 nucleotides. RefSeq lists it as uncharacterized. The transcript is spliced from 3 exons. The record is from RefSeq and is a predicted model, not a curated record. NCBI's taxonomy places the organism in Eukaryota, Viridiplantae, Streptophyta, Magnoliopsida, Solanales, Solanaceae.
UAUCUAUGGUUGAGGAAAAAUUAUCUAUAGGAUCUUUAUUAAUUCCCUCCAUGAUAUUUCAUUUGAGUCCGUCAAAAGAAAUUUUUUUUCUUUAUCAAUACAACAUAUAUCUAAAACCCCUAUUUCUUUCUCAUCCAAAACCCUAUAUCAAAAGCCCUUUAGAUCUACGCUUGUAUCAACGACACAGAGCAUUGUUCAUCAUCUCACGCUUGCUCAAGAAUCAGAGACGUCGCGGUACUGAUAAAUUGAAGGAAAGAUUGUCAUAUAGAAUCGUGUCUAAUUCCAUAGCUGUAAGAAAUUUAGGUGGGCAUCCUUUCAGACCAUCUAUUUUAUUUCAGGAAUUGCUCCUUUUGGUGAUUAUUUGGUUGUUCUAGCUUAUAUUCCUAUCAAAGAUGGAGAGAAGGACUUCAGCAGCACUAUUCCCUCCAGACAGUCCUUAGCAUCCUCUUGCAAUGUAUACGGAUCAAAAGAAAAGAGUUGCCGAAGAAGAGGCUACUUCAAAGAAAAUAGGACUUGGUAUUAGGUUACUAUCACCUUCUACAGAGGAUGCUACAACUGCUGCAAGUGUUAAAUUUGCUCAUAAGUUUGAUAUGAACAUAAGGGAUAAACGGGCCAUGAUAUACUUCGAUUUAAUUUUUUCUGGAUCGUCUAGUUUGUCAAAGCAUUCAGAGCUAGAAUCUAAGAGGAGGAAAAUAAGAGCGUCUUCUGCAUCAAAGAUACUCGCUGGAGAAUUUAAGCGCCCGUCAUGGUCUGAAGCUACUAUUUCAUCUAAGAAAGAUUGUUUGGCUCUUUGAAGCAUUCAGAGCUAGAAUCUAAGUAGAGGAAAAUGCAUUUGCUGCAUCAAAGCUACUGGUUGGAGGACCUAAUCGUCGUGAUUGGAAGCUAUCAUUUCAUCUAUGCUUUCUCCUUCCAACAUUUUAGAUUCUUAGUUAACCUGCCGAUCGAGAAUUGAGUUUAAAAUUUGUUGCUUUUUACUUAUAAUUAGUUGAGUUCCUAAUUGUACAGAGUGGAUGUGUGUUGAGUGAUGUGCUUUGUGCCUGCUUUUAUAGUAUUUGUAUUUUUCAAAGCUGAAUAAAAAUGCAUGUGUUACUUAUCUA